UUUUUUUUUUUAGAUAAAUCUAAAAUUCAUCAUAAUUCGAUCCAAUUACAAAUGCACACAAUAUUUAAUUUAUCGUUCAUAACUCUGAUACCAAUUGAUAAAUUUUUUAAGUAUGUAAAAUAAAAAGCAAAUUAAAUACAUACCAAAAUCUUUGUGAUCAAAAUAAAAUAAGAUAACUCACAGAGCGCCAUAGAGAAGAAAUUUCUGAUCAAUCUGCGGAAGCGAGAAUUUCAGCUAUGAUCUGCAAGUCAUGAACCGAACUUGGAUAAUUUGGUUUCUCCUCCUAUCUCAGACACUCUACCGUAAGGUGUGGAGCCGAUAGUAAUUCUUCACCAGAAUGCGUAUGAAAAGGUGACAGGACUAAUACCCCUUUAUAUAGAGUCCAGAUCGAUUUUCCAUCAAAGUCUGAUUAGAAUUCUAUUUAAUUUAAAUAGAUGGGAUAGGGAUAAAAUAUAUCAUAUCAAGUAGUUCUAUAUCUAUUAGGAUUGAUCUUUAUCUAUAGUAAAUCCAAAUUUAAAUAUGAUUAAUUGGGCCACAAUUUAUGGAAAUCCUAACAGGUACCACUAUGCAGUUCUGUGAGAGUUGAAAUUAUAUAGAGCUAGGUUCCUAUGCUUUUGAAAGUACGGAGGCCUCCGUGCUUGUAAGUUGUUUUCGAUGAUGGGACGUCCAAUUCGGCGAUCGGUUUCGUUAGCCAUGAUCUACGCUAUUGGAACUAUCUAGAAACCAAAUUUCAUAAUUUUUUAACUUCGUUUGCCUAGUGAACGAGUAGCCUCAAAAUGAACGGCUGAAAAUAAAAAUCUUAUAAAAAACAGCGAUAAGGGACUCAAAUUUCAAAUCGGAAGUAUU
Molecule: long non-coding RNA, 846 nt
Filed under: Ananas comosus (pineapple)
Lineage: Eukaryota; Viridiplantae; Streptophyta; Magnoliopsida; Poales; Bromeliaceae
Description: long non-coding RNA (ACOM_LNC008918)
Source: RNAcentral